UUAUUUUUACACUCUAAAAACCGUUGGGUUAUUUGUUUUACCCAAUAGGUGGGUUAAACAUAUUGGGUUGUUCUGUUGGGUUAUUCCUAGCUUGUAUUGGGUUAUUUCCAUAACAACCCAGAGAGUUGGGUUAAAAUCGGGCUCACGUCACGCAUUUUGAAUUUCAACGGUUGACCGGUGCCACUGCUGAGUGCGGACAGACACGAGAGACAUUCUUGGAGAUGUUGCAUUAAAAACCUUACAAAAUGGCCAGCAAGAUGAUUCAGCCUUCCUACAGUACAAAGAGGCAAAGCAAACAUUUAUUAAUUUGCAACCUGUCAGAAAACAAACAUAAUUCAGUAUUUGGAGGAGGAGGUAUGACGAAGACCCCAUGUCCUCCUAUGGGAUGAAUUCGACUAAUCACAAGCCUUUGUUAUCGUGGGGAGGCAUGCAUGGCCCAGGAGCAAGACCAGCAGUUGACACAUGCUUUAAUUUUUUUUUUUUACAUUUUAUACAGAGUAUCCCAAGCCUUUCACUACUGUUAAGUAGUUUCUGUAACACACAAUACAUUUUGUACCAUGUGAUGUUUCCUGAACACACUGUCACCUGCUUAAAGGGACAGUUCCCCCAAAAAUGAAAAUUGUCAUAAUUUUCUUCCUCUCCUGUCGUUACAAACCUGUACACAUUUUUUUGUUCUGAUGACCACAAAGGAAGAUAUUUUGAGUAAUGUUUAAACCAAACAGAUCAUGAGCCCCAUUGACUGUCAUAGUAGGAAAAAAGAAUACUAUGAAAAUGAAUGGGGCUCAUGAUCGGUUUGAUUUCAAACAUUCUUUGAAAU
This is a non-coding RNA of Paramisgurnus dabryanus, 817 nucleotides long. Lineage: Eukaryota; Metazoa; Chordata; Actinopteri; Cypriniformes; Cobitidae. The record is from RefSeq and is a predicted model, not a curated record.